Molecule: long non-coding RNA, 198 nt
Organism: Cotesia glomerata
Lineage: Eukaryota; Metazoa; Arthropoda; Insecta; Hymenoptera; Braconidae
Exons: 2
Source: RefSeq, a predicted model, not a curated record
UUUUUUCUAGUUGUGUAAAGGUGUCUUGAAGAAUUUUCAGUGAUUUUGAAAGUGAUUCUCGGCCGUCUUCGAUUUUUCUUGAAUUUUUUUUUUACAAGUGGCCGAUAAGGGUAGCUUAGGGGUUGUUCCGGAGGUCGUGGGGCUUUUAUAAUUUUUUUCUAGUUGUGUGAAGGCGUCUUGAAGAAUUUUCAGUGAUUU